GGGGGGGGGGGGGGGGGGGGGGGGCGCGUGCAGGGCGGGGGGCGGCGCGGGGUGGCUGGCGGUCUGGGGGGCGAGGGGCGCACGGGUGCGGGACGCGUGUGCAACUUGCCCUAUACAGGGGGAUCACCCGUCGAAAGACGGACUAAUACUGCGUAUGCUCACAACUUGGCAUCAAGUGGUGAGGAAAGAAAUUCGGUAUAGAAUAGGCAUGCGUCCCAUUAGCUUUUUGGUGAGGUAACGGCUCACCAAGGCAACGAUGGGUAGGGGAACUGAGAGGGUAAUCCCCCACACUGGUACUGAGACACGGACCAGACUCAGACGGGAGGCAGCAGUGAGGAAUAUUGGUCAAUGGGCGCGAGCCUGAACCAGCCAAGUCGCGUGAAGGAUGACUGUCUUAUGGAUUGUAAACUUCUUUUAUACGGGAAGAACAAGAGUCACGUGUGACUCCCUGCAUGUACCGUAUGAAUAAGCAUCGGCUAACUCCGUG
Molecule: ribosomal RNA, 487 nt
Filed under: uncultured bacterium
Lineage: Bacteria
Description: partial 16S ribosomal RNA
Rfam family: Bacterial small subunit ribosomal RNA
Source: RNAcentral